ACAUAGAGUUAUAUUGAGGGAUUGAGAAUGAAUUUCAAUUAUAAAUAUUUUGAGGGAUUGUGAAGAUCUCUGUUCCGUUAAUUUUCUCUUUUCUUUUUUGGAUGUUUUUUUUUGUCUCUUUGUUAUGGAUAGUUCCUUAUGUUGACAGAUUGGGAAGAGCUCAAGAGUGCAAAUUUUGUCUUUUCUUUCUUGGAUAUUUUUUGUGUCUUUGUUAUGGAGAGUUCAUUAUUCUUCCAUAUAUCUACAACCAAAAACGGGAAGAAGAGGGGAGACUAGGGUGUUAUAUAUUGAUACUUAUUUGAAGCAAUAAUCCUUUGUUAUUUCAAGGGUUCAUCUGCUAUAUCCAAUGCUGAUCUUUUUGGUGACUCAAGAGACAACUCUAUCGAUCUUGCUGCUAGUGACCUUAUCAAUCUAAUAUCUUUCCAGGCACAAAAGGAUAUUUCUUCCCUUACGAACAUUGCCGGAGAAACUGGGAAAGAGCUCACCUCCCAAGAACAUUUCUUCCCUUAAGAACAUUUAUUCCCUUAAAUUUAGUGAUGUAACAUCUUUUUAUAGAUUCAUAAACAAUUUUUUGCAAGUUGCAUGUUCUUAUGUUUGGCAAAAAUCAAGGGGUGAGUCUUCUUUUGAUGUCUGAGUUUAUUCUGAGAUAAUGGUACGAAGUUCCGGUUCAACAUUUGUUUAUAACAUCCAUUUGAAAAUUUUCUUGAGAAAUAUUGCUAUGAACAUUUGCAACCAAUAUAUUGUUGUCUAUGUGACAUAUUGGAGGAAAUGAAGAAAUGUUUUUCUCUAGAAUUGGGACAAAGAAUCAAUCCCUAGAUUGUUUAGCUUCUCCAUUUGCUUUACUUCCACUUCCUUGACAUGAAAUCCAAGAAUAUUACCUCAUUUCAUGGUCACGUAUAAAUAAUGAUAAUAUUCUUCUUUUAUGACAGCUAUCAUACAUUGUUUUUUCUCUUAUAUGUAGGGACAUCGUCAAGAUAACAGAUAAGCAUGUGGAUAUUAUGUCAUGAAGACUAUGUUUGAAAUUGUUGAUACUUCUAUUGUUGAAUGAUUCAAUGAGAUAUUCACAAACACCUCAUCGUAUGAAAAAGAGAUAAUUGACCAUAAUCGACAAUUUUGUGCUCAAUAUGUUUUGGAAAUGGUUGAAGAGUAAAAUGUUGAAGAGUAAAUGCAAAUGGUUGAAGAGCAAAAUAUUGAAGAGUAAAUGCAAAUGAUUGAAGAGCAUGAGAACCAAGAAGACAUGCAAAUAUUGCCAAAACCAUAGCGA
Molecule: long non-coding RNA, 1264 nt
Organism: Lathyrus oleraceus (garden pea)
Lineage: Eukaryota; Viridiplantae; Streptophyta; Magnoliopsida; Fabales; Fabaceae
Exons: 3
Source: RefSeq, a predicted model, not a curated record